This 496-nucleotide ribosomal RNA is filed under the name uncultured bacterium. RNAcentral describes it as "partial 16S ribosomal RNA". It matches the Rfam family "Bacterial small subunit ribosomal RNA", at positions 29 to 507 of the family's 1533-position model. The record is from RNAcentral.
AUGAACGCUGGCGGCGUGCCUAAUACAUGCAAGUCGAGCGAACAGAUGAGGAGCUUGCUCCUCUGACGUUAGCGGCGGACGGGUGAGUAACACGUGGAUAACCUACCUAUAAGACUGGGAUAACUUCGGGAAACCGGAGCUAAUACCGGAUAAUAUAUUGAACCGCAUGGUUCAAUAGUGAAAGACGGUUUUGCUGUCACUUAUAGAUGGAUCCGCGCCGCAUUAGCUAGUUGGUAAGGUAACGGCUUACCAAGGCGACGAUGCGUAGCUGACCUGAGAGGGUGAUCGGCCACACUGGAACUGAGACACGGUCCAGACUCCUACGGGAGGCAGCAGUAGGGAAUCUUCCGCAAUGGGCGAAAGCCUGACGGAGCAACGCCGCGUGAGUGAUGAAGGUCUUCGGAUCGUAAAACUCUGUUAUUAGGGAAGAACAAAUGUGUAAGUAACUAUGCACGUCUUGACGGUACCUAAUCAGAAAGCCACGGCUAACUACGUG